RNAcentral lists this transfer RNA (72 nucleotides) under Camelus bactrianus (Bactrian camel). It matches the Rfam family "tRNA". Rfam says of the family: Transfer RNA (tRNA) molecules are approximately 80 nucleotides in length. Their secondary structure includes four short double-helical elements and three loops (D, anti-codon, and T loops). Lineage: Eukaryota; Metazoa; Chordata; Mammalia; Artiodactyla; Camelidae. RNAcentral also lists the same sequence under 2 other names. The record is from Rfam by way of RNAcentral.
GAGGGUAUAGCUCAGUGGUAGAGCGUAUACUUAGCAUGCAUGAGGUCAUAGGUUCAAUCCCCAGGACCCCCA